Molecule: ribosomal RNA, 1306 nt
Filed under: Bolitaena pygmaea
Lineage: Eukaryota; Metazoa; Mollusca; Cephalopoda; Octopoda; Bolitaenidae
Description: 16S ribosomal RNA
Rfam family: Archaeal large subunit ribosomal RNA (bases 892-1237)
Source: RNAcentral
GAGAUAGAAAGAUAAAUUAAUAGAAAUAUACAUUAUGAUUUAUAUUUAUAUAAAAAGGUUUAUAAUAUGUUAGUAAAAGGUUAGGAAAAUUUUUUUGUUUUGUACUGAGAAGGAUUAAUAUAAUUUGUUUUAUAGUAAAAAUUAGUUUUUGUAUCUUUUGUAUAAUGGUUUGAUAAUAUUUAUUGUUAUAUAGAAGGUUCUCGAAGUAGGAAGAUUUAUUUGUUAAAUAUAGGUAAUAUGGUUUGUUAACGUGGUAAAGUUAUAAAUUUAGUAAUAAAUGGUAGUGAAAUGCUAUUCGAUUUCUAAGGUAGCUAGUUUAUUAUUAUUACGUUUUAGUGUUUAUUAUAGUUAAUAUAUUAAGGUAAAUAACUGUGGUGUAAAUAUUGGGGGAUAAGCUUCUUAUAUUAUAGUAAGAUUUUUAAAGUAAGUAAAUUUGUUUUAAGUUGGAUUAAUAGUUUUUCUUAUAAAUAUAAGGGUAUGUUAUUUUAAAUUAUAUAUCUUAAUUUAGAUUAAUAUAGUAAAUGAUUUAUAAUUAAUUUUAAGGUUAAAUAUAAUGUUAAAAUGAGUAUAUAUUAUAAGAAUAAAAAUACUAAAUAAAUUUGUUUUACAGGGGGUUUAGUUUUUAUAUUUUUAUAAAAAAUUAAUUAGAAUAAAGGAAUUUAGCAAAUAAUAAUUUCGCCUGUUUAUCAAAAACAUGUCUCUUUGACUUUAUUUUAUAAAGAGUUGGGCCUGCUCAGUGAUAUUUUUAACAGCUGCGGUGUUAUAACUGUACUAAGGUAGCAUAAUAAUUUGCCUUAUAAAUUAGGGCUAGAAUGAAUGGUUUGACGAGAGUUAUACUGUCUCUAUUUUAAUUGUUAGAAUUUAAUUUUUAUAGUGAAAAAGCUUGGAUGGUUUAAAGGGACGAGAAGACCCUAUUGAGCUUUAUACGUUUAUAUAAAUAUAUAAACAUGUUUGGUUGGGGUGAUCAAGGAAUAAAAUAUAAAUAGUUUAACUUCCUUAGAUUUAUUAAUUUGUUAGGAUAAUAAACCAAUAUAUUGCUUUAAUGAUAAGUUACCAUAGGGAUAACAGCGUAAUUUUUUUAGAGAGUUCUUAUUGAAAAAAAAGAUUGCGACCUCGAUGUUGGAUUAAAAUAACCAUUAGGUGUAGAUGCUUUAUUUGGUGAAUCUGUUCGAUUUUUAAAAUUUUACAUGAUCUGAGUUCAAACCGGUGUGAGCCAGGUUGGUUUUUAUCUUUUAAAUUUGAUUGUUGUUUGGUCUAGUACGAAAGGAUUGACUUAAAAUUAAUAAGAUUAUAAUUAUUAAUAAUU